GGAAGACUUGCUCUUCUCCCCAAAUCUCUUUUCUGUGCACUGUUUUUGUGUGCUGGGCUAGCUUUGGCUGGGUCAGCACGGGGUGGAGCUUGGAAACUGUUUGCUAUGAAUUUUCCCCCGGGAAAGUUCCGCUGGAAAACUUUUGACAUCUCCGCCGAAAUUUAAUACUAAUACUGACUGACCAUGAAAAAGUUAAUAUAACAACUUUCAGCAAUGGAUCUCUCGGCUUUCGUAUCGAUGAAGAACGCAGCGAAUCGCGAUAUGUAGUGUGAUCUGCCUCUAGUGAAUCAUCAAAUCUUUGAACGCAUCUUGCACCCUUUGGUAUUCCAAAGGGUACGCCUGUUUCAGUAUCAUUAUAACCUUUCUCCCCAAGGCUUUUUGGCCAAGGAGGGAAAGAGCAUAACCGGUGGCCCAGCGGUCUCCCAUCAGGGGGAUUGUCUCGGCUGGAAUGACUGUUGCAAUGGUGGGCCAAAUGGUCUCCCGCACUUGAUAAAUGUACUUUUAUAAAGAGCGGGGCCGGUCUGCCGAAAGUUGUAACUAAACCCUUUACCUUUGAUCUGAAAUCAGGCGGGAUUACCCGCUGAACUUAA
Molecule: ribosomal RNA, 590 nt
Filed under: Absidia glauca
Lineage: Eukaryota; Fungi; Mucoromycota; Mucoromycetes; Mucorales; Cunninghamellaceae
Description: eukaryotic LSU rRNA
Rfam family: 5.8S ribosomal RNA (bases 203-353)
Source: RNAcentral